This is a non-coding RNA of Picea glauca (white spruce), 368 nucleotides long. The record is from Rfam. Lineage: Eukaryota; Viridiplantae; Streptophyta; Pinopsida; Pinales; Pinaceae.
ACAUUAGAAAAGAAUGGGUAACAAAUGGAAUGGAUAGAUUGUUAAAGUGGCCAUUUGAUGGGUCCUGACCCCAAUUCUGUAGACAAACUGCAAAACUAACAUUAUAGGUUGACCAAAUCCUGACUCUUUCGAAUGGAUGCAUUUCUUAGAUUAUAAGCUCACGCGGGUUUGCCCGUUUCUCCGGUGAAUUAUGAUAACUCGAUGGAUCACAUGGCUCUUGUGCAAGCGAUGCUUCAUUCAAAUUUCUUCCCUAUCAACAUUCGAUGGUAGGAUAGAGGGCUACCAUUGUGGUGACAUGUGAUGGAGAAUUAGGGUUUGAUUCCAUAGAGCGAGCCUGAGAAACAACUACCACAUCCAACGAAGGCAGU